AACGGCAGCACAGUAGGAGCUUGCUCUUAUGGGUGGCGAGUGGCGGACGGGUGAGGAAUACAUCGGAAUCUACCUUUUCGUGGGGGAUAACGUAGGGAAACUUACGCUAAUACCGCAUACGACCUUCGGGUGAAAGCAGGGGACCUUCGGGCCUUGCGCGGAUAGAUGAGCCGAUGUCGGAUUAGCUAGUUGGCGGGGUAAAGGCCCACCAAGGCGACGAUCCGUAGCUGGUCUGAGAGGAUGAUCAGCCACACUGGAACUGAGACACGGUCCAGACUCCUACGGGAGGCAGCAGUGGGGAAUAUUGGACAAUGGGCGCAAGCCUGAUCCAGCCAUACCGCGUGGGUGAAGAAGGCCUUCGGGUUGUAAAGCCCUUUUGUUGGGAAAGAAAAGCAGUCGGCUAAUACCCGGUUGUUCUGACGGUACCCAAAGAAUAAGCACCGGCUAACUUCGUGCCAGCAGCCGCGGUAAUACGAAGGGUGCAAUCGUUACUCGGAAUUACUGGGCGUAAAGCGUGCGUAGGUGGUUGGUUCACUCU
Molecule: ribosomal RNA, 538 nt
Filed under: Stenotrophomonas rhizophila
Lineage: Bacteria; Pseudomonadati; Pseudomonadota; Gammaproteobacteria; Lysobacterales; Lysobacteraceae
Description: bacterial SSU rRNA
Rfam family: Bacterial small subunit ribosomal RNA
Source: RNAcentral